UCUGGUUGAUCCUGCCAGUAGUCAUAUGCUUGUCUCAAAGAUUAAGCCAUGCAUGUCUAAGUAUAAAUAGUAUACAGUGAAACUGCGAAUGGCUCAUUAAAACAGUUAUAGUUUAUUUGAUAAUUGACAAUUACAUGGAUAACCGUGGUAAUUCUAGAGCUAAUACAUGCUUAAACGCCCGACUUUAUGGAAGGGUGGUAUUUAUUAGACUGAAGCCAAUAUUCCUUGUGUCUAUUGCGGUGAUUCAUAAUAACUGAUCGAAUCUCUUUUUGAGAUAAAUCAUUCAAGUUUCUGCCCUAUCAGCUUUCGAUGGUAGUGUAUUGGACUACCAUGGCAGUAACGGGUAACGAAGAAUUAGGGUUCGAUUUCGGAGAGGGAGCAUGAGAAACGGCUACCACAUCUAAGGAAGGCAGCAGGCGCGUAAAUUACCCAAUCCUGACUCAGGGAGGUAGUGACAAGAAAUAGCAAACCGGGAACCUCAUGGUUUCACGGUAUUGCAAUGAGAACAAUUUAAAACCCUUAGCGAGAAUCAAGUGGAGGACAAGUCUGGUGCCAGCACCCGCGGUAAUUCCAGCUCCACUAGCGUACAUUAAAGUUGUUGCAGUUAAAAAGCUCGUAGUUGAACCUCUGUCUGGGGCUAGUUUUGGCUUUGGUCAGGCUAGUUCUAGGCAUCCGCCUACAAGACUUAGAGGGCAUUUAGUUGUUCACUAGGAGGAGUAGGCAUUUUACUUUGAAAAAAUUAGAGUGUUUAAGGCAGGCAAUCGCCCGCAUAUAUUAGCAUGGAAUAAUAGAAUAGGACACUUUUCCAUUUCGUUGGUUAUUGGAAUCGUGUAAUGAUUAAUAGGGACAGUUGUGGGCAUUUGUAUUUAAUUGUCAGAGGUGAAAUUCUUGGAUUUAUUAAAGACAAACUAACGCGAAAGCAUUUGCCAAGGAUGUUUUCAUUAAUCAAGAACGAAAGUUAGGGGAUCAAAGACGAUCAGAUACCGUCCUAGUCUUAACUAUAAACUAUUCCGACUCAAUGUUUGACUGGCUUAUAUAACCAGUUGAGCGUUGUAUGAGAAAUCAAAGUCUUUAGGUUCUGGGGGGAGUAUGGUUGCAAAGCUGAAACUUAAAGGAAUUGACGGAAGAGCACAACCAGGAGUGGAUUCUGCGGCUUAAUUUGACUCAACACGGGGAAACUUACCAGGUUAAAACAAUAGUGGGAUUGACAGUUUGAGAGCGCUUUCUUGAUUGGUUGGGUGGUGGUGCAUGGCCGUUCUUAGUUGGUGGAGUGAUUUGUCUGCUUAAUUGCGUUAACGAACGAGACCUUAACCUGCUUACUAGACUGGCGAUCAUCAAUCGUUAGCUCUUCUUAGAGGGAC
This 1361-nucleotide ribosomal RNA is filed under the name metagenome. RNAcentral's name for it is "SSU rRNA". It matches the Rfam family "Eukaryotic small subunit ribosomal RNA", at positions 1 to 1420 of the family's 1831-position model. The record is from RNAcentral.